Molecule: ribosomal RNA, 229 nt
Filed under: uncultured bacterium
Lineage: Bacteria
Description: partial 16S ribosomal RNA
Rfam family: Bacterial small subunit ribosomal RNA
Source: RNAcentral
UGCGUAGGCGGGCUAAUAAGUCAGUGGUGAAAUCUCUCGGCUCAACCGGGAAACUGCCAUUGAUACUGUUAGUCUUGAGUUCGGUUGAGGUAGGCGGAAUGUGUAAUGUAGCGGUGAAAUGCUUAGAUAUUACACAGAACACCAAUUGCGUAGGCAGCUUACUAGACCGACACUGACGCUGAGGAACGAAAGCGUGGGGAGCGAACAGGAUUAGAUACCCUGGUAGUCC